CCUACGGGGGGCAGCAGUGGGGAAUAUUGGACAAUGGGGGGAACCCUGAUCCAGCCAUGCCGCGUGUGUGAAGAAGGCCCUCGGGUUGUAAAGCACUUUCAGUGAGGAAGAACGCCUGGUGGUUAAUACCCAUCAGGAAAGACAUCACUCACAGAAGAAGCACCGGCUAACUCCGUGCCAGCAGCCGCGGUAAUACGGAGGGUGCGAGCGUUAAUCGGAAUUACUGGGCGUAAAGCGCGCGUAGGUGGCUUGAUAAGCCGGUUGUGAAAGCCCCGGGCUCAACCUGGGAACGGCAUCCGGAACUGUCAAGCUAGAGUGCAGGAGAGGAAGGUAGAAUUCCCGGUGUAGCGGUGAAAUGCGUAGAGCUCGGGAGGAAUACCAGUGGCGAAGGCGGCCUUCUGGACUGACACUGACACUGAGGUGCGAAAGCGUGGGUAGCAAACAGGAUUAGAUACCCCAGUAGUC
Molecule: ribosomal RNA, 465 nt
Filed under: Vreelandella stevensii
Lineage: Bacteria; Pseudomonadati; Pseudomonadota; Gammaproteobacteria; Oceanospirillales; Halomonadaceae
Description: partial 16S ribosomal RNA
Rfam family: Bacterial small subunit ribosomal RNA
Source: RNAcentral